This 2275-nucleotide long non-coding RNA is filed under the name Lynx pardinus (Iberian lynx). Lineage: Eukaryota; Metazoa; Chordata; Mammalia; Carnivora; Felidae. The record is from RNAcentral.
AUUGCCUCUUUGCUCAGAAGACCUCCUUGCGUUGGUGAGAACGUAGGGCUUGAGCAGACAGCUGCGUUGCUUAAAUUUGAUUCAUAUCACAGCAUAUAUUGCACUGUCUUGAUUCCAAACCCUAAACCAGGUGGGUGACUCCUUUGAUGAGCUCUCAGCUGCCUCAGCUGAGAAAAAUAAUCGUGGAAAAAUAUAUUUACAGUGUGGCUGGUCUAGAAGCUUCUAAUUUCGUCCCUUAGGUAUCAUUAGAGGGUAGCAAGAACAGCGUCUCCUGUUUGGUUUUUUUUUUUUUUUCCUCGCCGACACUGACGUCUGAUUUUGCACUACCGACGAGAAAAAUCCUCGUCGUGGCAGAUCUAUUGGCUCAGCGUUUGCGGGCUUGUAGUUUCAUACUUGAGGUCCUGCCAGGACAGGGGCUUCUGUUGUAACGGAGCUAACAAAGUCUAUUUGCUGGAGACGGUCAGAGCUCCGAUCUCAGAGAUGCUGACGCGGAAAGGAAUUCUAAAUGAGCAUUUCUGUCCCCCGAGGCUGUGUUACUCCAAAGCAUGAUGGCAGUGCCCCGGUGACGGCCUUCACGGCCCCUGGAGAUGGGGGCUUAGAACCCCCCACUCCUGCCGCCCUCCCGGUCACCGUUCACAUUUGACCAGACCAGCCGAAGAUUUUGCAGUUCACGAGGAAAGUGAGUUCAGUGGCUUCGGGGAGGCAUUUUGAGCUCUCUUUCCCCGAAGCCUUCAUGAGUGAACGGGUAGCCCGUACCUGCUCGUUGGUCGGCGGGCUCCGUGCCCCUGCACGCCUGCCAGGAAAGGUCUUGUGUUUUGAUCGAGCCCCUGCCUGAGCCGGAGCUGCAAAGAGCGGCUGGAGAUCGCCCGCGACCCACGCGGGGCUGAGUGGGCGAAGCACACACUCAGCGUCUAGUUGUGCAAGUGCGUUUCCAGUGGGGUCUUCUGUUCCCUUUAAGUUCCUCCCCAAGGUUGCAAGGGCGGGCUUCUCAAAAUCUUCACCCUUGACCCAGCCAGGAGGCCUCCUGCUCACCAUGAAAGGUUCUGUCUUUUUGGAUGAUUUUUUUUUUUUCCUUUUUAAAUUCUCCACAAGCAAAUGCCACCUUGGCGGAGCUGUCGAGUUGAGUGAAUAAUGCUGGCACAGAGGACCCAAGUCCACACGAUGCCUAGAGCAGCAGAUCUGCUCCCCGGAGACUGUCUGUCCUCCAGGGUGUUGUGAAUCCCCCGCCCUGUGCCUGGGUGCUGGGCAUCCGCCAGGGAACAGGGUCAGAGGCCUUGCUUGCGAGCCUCAGCUCUGCGUAUCUGUGCCCGUGGGCCCCACCCAGCAGGGAAGGGACACCAGGAUGACCAGCCUCAGGGAAACGGGUUCAGGUGGCCUGUCCUGCCCCCGCUAGGCCAAGCUCAGAAGGGUCCAGAAAUCUGGAACCUUCCAGAACCAUUUCCAAGGCUCCCUUUGGUUCGGUAUCUGGCCCGGCGGCGAGUGAAUUCAGCACACUCUGCUCUCGUUUGUGUUGCAGGAAGAGUCGGGCUGUGGAAGGACAUCUUCACUGUCUCCAUGAACGAGAAGUUUGACUUGGUGUACAAACAGAAGAUGGGGAAGUGUGACCUGACGUUUGACUUUUAUUUAUAAUCACGGCGACGGCAAACUUGCAUGCUCACAGCACCCAGACACUCUACUAGCUAAAAGUCCCGUAUGCACUCAUUUGUUCCUUGCUGGACGAACUCCGGAAGCAGCGUGAGGCCCGGGGGAGGGAGGGAACGGCGGAGACGCCGGAGGAAGAGGGGGCCCUGCUUCCCCUCCGGAGCAGCCGUGUCGCCUUUGGGCUUUGAAGUCUCUCCGUGUCCGACCACAAGCGUUGUAAAGCUGGCGGUUCUGACGGCCUGUAUCAUAAGUAUAGAGUCUGUAACAUACGCAGCUAGAACGUCUGCCUUUUACAACCCCACAUUAUUUAUUGUAUUUUAUAGAGCUUUUCACUUGGAAAUCUAAAUAAAUGUCAGUAAACCAAAUAGAAGUUCAUUUCCGAGGGGACUCAGGAGCGAGCCACACCCAAAUGGUAGGAAGAUCUCAGGGUUGACUCUUUAUUUUUGUAGUUCUGUUCUGUAUGGCACAGCCAUUCUGUUCUCACCCGGUUCGGAGGUGAAGACACAGGAGGAGUUGGGUGUGUGGGGGCCGCUGUUCCUUUGGAUGAGUUCAGUGCUCUGUAACCUUCCUGAAACAAAGCAGAGACCGUCCGCUCGGCAUCUGCAGGGAGGAUGGCCCUCUGCCAGGGACUCCC